This 855-nucleotide unclassified non-coding RNA is filed under the name Hevea brasiliensis (rubber tree). The record is from RNAcentral. Lineage: Eukaryota; Viridiplantae; Streptophyta; Magnoliopsida; Malpighiales; Euphorbiaceae.
AAAGCUCUAUUUCCCACAAAAUCUCUGCAAACAAUUUUUUUAUUCAAUCAACUUCAAAAUACACCUUUGCAUCAUCAAUUUCAUCCACUUCUACUCAAUAGGUUGCCCAAAAUUCAAUCUCUUACACCACUAUCAUUUACAUCCAACUCUAUUGGUCUUUCUUUCAAAUUAGAAUUGAAGGGAAAGAACAUCUAGGGGUCAGAAACAAAGUUGACGUUUUGGGCUUUUGCAGAAAGUUUAGCGAUAGAGGAUAGGAGACACAGAAUUGAGGGUUUGGUAAGAGAGAAAGGAGCAUACUGAGAAACGAAAAAUGUGAUAGAUGGAUCGGGAAUUGGAGCACGAUGGUGAGAAAAAUUUGUGGAUAUAUUUAUGGUUUACAGAGAUUAGGAUAGGUUUAGGGUUUUGAAGAGGACAAGAGAAGAAGCAAAGGUUGGGAUAUUUUGGAAAAUGAAUUCAGAGAGAAAGGAAGAACUCCGAACCUAGAAGGAGAAUUUCAAUUCUCAUUUCAGAUUUUGGAUUUCUCAUUUCAGAUUUUGGGUUUCUUCAAGCUGAGGUUGAUAUGUAACACAGCUUUGAAAGAAGAAAAGGGGGGUACUUUCGGUCAUGUGGGCCCCUCAAUCAAGUAGACCUUUCAUUAGCAGCUUGUCCUGUAAAAAAUAGUGUAAAAAUGCCAUGCCAGCAAAUCCAAACCAGAAAACAGGUUAUAUUUUUUCAUUAAGUACUUUAAUGGAACGAAAAAUUCUUCAGUGAUCAUAAUGAAACUUAGUGAAAGGUCUAGUGAUCACAAGUAAAAUUAGCCCACAAAAAGCCUAUUUAACUCAAGCAAUCAACAAAAUAAUAUUCGUAUGUUGAAAG